GCAAAGUGUGUGUGCAGGAGAGGAGUCGAGCAGAGAGAGCUGUUUUUUCAUAAAACGGGAGUAAAGUAGUGAACUUAGAGGAGAGAAACAAACUGAAGUAUCGAUCAUAUACCACUACCAACGUUUGGAUCGAUAUCUGCAUCGAUCUGCCCACCCUUGUCUCCUGGAUCGUAGCUGAGAUCAGCGUGAACCACGUGGGUCUCUUCUCCCUGAUCUGCUUCCGGGGUUUGGAAAGAGUUCCAGCUUCAUCACGGAGUUUCUCUCGGUUUGUGGCCUCAUCUAAAGGGAUAAAUUACAUAUCUAUACAUUUUAUGUCCCAGCUAAGUAACAAGUCUGGUGGAGCAGCAGAGGAACAAUUUCGGCCAUUUGGACUCAGCUCAGCCACUACAGAGGAAACAAUGACUUCAACACAAAAGGAGCUACAUUCACAAACAAAAACCACAGAAGUUACAAGAAAAUACAAAGAUCAUUUUUUAUCAGCACACAUUGAAACAACAAUAUCAUCAGUUGGACUCAGAAUU
This is a long non-coding RNA of Oreochromis aureus, 521 nucleotides long. RefSeq lists it as uncharacterized. Lineage: Eukaryota; Metazoa; Chordata; Actinopteri; Cichliformes; Cichlidae. The record is from RefSeq and is a predicted model, not a curated record. The transcript is spliced from 3 exons.